Molecule: ribosomal RNA, 253 nt
Filed under: uncultured bacterium
Lineage: Bacteria
Description: partial 16S ribosomal RNA
Rfam family: Bacterial small subunit ribosomal RNA
Source: RNAcentral
UACGAAGGGGGCUAGCGUUGCUCGGAAUCACUGGGCGUAAAGCGCACGUAGGCGGAUUGUUAAGUCAGGGGUGAAAUCCUGGAGCUCAACUCCAGAACUGCCUUUGAUACUGACGAUCUCGAGUCCGGGAGAGGUGAGUGGAACUGCGAGUGUAGAGGUGAAAUUCGUAGAUAUUGGGAGGAACACCAGUGGCGAAGGCGGCUCACUGGACCGGUACUGACGCUGAGACGCGAAAGCCAGGGGAGCAAACGGG